This 218-nucleotide ribosomal RNA is filed under the name uncultured bacterium. RNAcentral describes it as "partial 16S ribosomal RNA". It matches the Rfam family "Bacterial small subunit ribosomal RNA", at positions 1283 to 1500 of the family's 1533-position model. The record is from RNAcentral.
CAAUCUCAGUUCAGACUGCAGGCUGCAACUCGCCUGCACGAAGUCGGAAUUGCUAGUAAUCGUAGGUCAGCAUACUACGGUGAAUACGUUCCCGGGCCUUGUACACACCGCCCGUCAAACCAUGAGAGUUGGCAACACCCGAAGUCGGUAGUCUAACCGCAAGGAGGACGCCGCCGAAGGUGGGGUUGAUGAUUAGGGUUAAGUCGUAACAAGGUAUC